Molecule: ribosomal RNA, 207 nt
Filed under: uncultured bacterium
Lineage: Bacteria
Description: partial 16S ribosomal RNA
Rfam family: Bacterial small subunit ribosomal RNA
Source: RNAcentral
AAGCGCCGAUGGAGGGGGGUAACUACUGGAAACGGUAGCUAAUACCGCAUAACGUCGCAAGACCAAAGAGGGGGACCUUCGGGCCUCUUGCCAUCGGAUGUGCCCAGAUGGGAUUAGCUAGUAGGUGGGGUAACGGCUCACCUAGGCGACGAUCCCUAGCUGGUCUGAGAGGAUGACCAGCCACACUGGAACUGAGACACGGUCCAG